RNAcentral lists this ribosomal RNA (253 nucleotides) under uncultured bacterium. RNAcentral describes it as "partial 16S ribosomal RNA". It matches the Rfam family "Bacterial small subunit ribosomal RNA", at positions 524 to 776 of the family's 1533-position model. The record is from RNAcentral.
UACGUAGGGGGCAAGCGUUGUCCGGAAUCAUUGGGCGUAAAGCGCGUGUAGGCGGCUCGGUAAGUCCGCUCUGAAAGCCCGGGGCUCAACCCCGGGAGGCGGGCGGAUACUGUCGGGCUAGAGUCCGGAAGAGGCGAGUGGAAUUCCUGGUGUAGCGGUGAAAUGCGCAGAUAUCAGGAGGAACACCAAUGGCGAAGGCAGCUCGCUGGGACGGUACUGACGCUGAGACGCGAAAGCGUGGGGAGCAAACAGG